AACGCGAAGAACCUUACCAGGUCUUGACAUCUGCCUGACGAAGCGGCAAUGCGCUUUUUCCUUCGGGACAGGCAAGACAGGUGGUGCAUGGUUGUCGUCAGCUCGUGUCGUGAGAGGUUGGGUUAAGUCCCGCAACGAGCGCAACCCUUAUGCCCAGUAGCCAGCACGAGAAGGUGGGCACUCUGGGGAGACUGCCAGGGAUAACCUGGAGGAAGGUGGGGAUGACGUCAAAUCAUCAUGCCCCUUAUGAUCUGGGCGACACACGUGCUACAACGGCGUAAACAAAGGGAAGCGAGCCCGCGAGGGGGAGCAAAUCCCAAAAACAACGUCCCAGUUCGGACUGUAGUCUGCAACCCGACUACACGAAGCUGGAAUCGCUAGUAAUCGCGGAUCAGCAUGCCGCGGUGAAUACGUUCCCGGGUCUUGUACACACCG
Molecule: ribosomal RNA, 435 nt
Filed under: uncultured rumen bacterium
Lineage: Bacteria
Description: bacterial SSU rRNA
Rfam family: Bacterial small subunit ribosomal RNA
Source: RNAcentral